GGACGGUGAAGAUCGAUAUUUGGUCUUGUUGUAACUGGCAUUUAGUUGCCUUGCCGAUCUUCCUGCUAUAUCACCAUCCAUAUCCUGAGUCC
This 92-nucleotide small nucleolar RNA is filed under the name Hordeum vulgare. RNAcentral's name for it is "Small nucleolar RNA Z43". It matches the Rfam family "Small nucleolar RNA Z43". From Rfam's summary of the family: Z43 is a member of the C/D class of snoRNA which contain the C (UGAUGA) and D (CUGA) box motifs. Most of the members of the box C/D family function in directing site-specific 2'-O-methylation of substrate RNAs. The record is from RNAcentral. Lineage: Eukaryota; Viridiplantae; Streptophyta; Magnoliopsida; Poales; Poaceae.